GGCAGCACAGUAAGAGCUUGCUCUUAUGGGUGGCGAGUGGCGGACGGGUGAGGAAUACAUCGGAAUCUACCUUUUCGUGGGGGAUAACGUAGGGAAACUUACGCUAAUACCGCAUACGACCUUCGGGUGAAAGCAGGGGACCUUCGGGCCUUGCGCGGAUAGAUGAGCCGAUGUCGGAUUAGCUAGUUGGCGGGGUAAAGGCCCACCAAGGCGACGAUCCGUAGCUGGUCUGAGAGGAUGAUCAGCCACACUGGAACUGAGACACGGUCCAGACUCCUACGGGAGGCAGCAGUGGGGAAUAUUGGACAAUGGGCGCAAGCCUGAUCCAGCCAUACCGCGUGGGUGAAGAAGGCCUUCGGGUUGUAAAGCCCUUUUGUUGGGAAAGAAAAGCAAUCGAUUAAUACCCGGUUGUUCUGACGGUACCCAAAGAAUAAGCACCGGCUAACUUCGUGCCAGCAGCCGCGGUAAUACGAAGGGUGCAAGCGUUACUCGGAAUUACUGGGCGUAAAGCGUGCGUAGGUGGUUGUUUAAGUCUGUUGUGAAAGCCCUGGGCUCAACCUGGGAAUUGCAGUGGAUACUGGGCAACUAGAGUGUGGUAGAGGGUAGUGGAAUUCCCGGUGUAGCAGUGAAAUGCGUAGAGAUCGGGAGGAACAUCCAUGGCGAAGGCAGCUACCUGGACCAACACUGACACUGAGGCACGAAAAGCGUGGGGGAGCAAACAGGAUUAGAUACCCUGGUAGUCCACGCCCUAAACGAUGCGAACU
Molecule: ribosomal RNA, 764 nt
Filed under: Stenotrophomonas rhizophila
Lineage: Bacteria; Pseudomonadati; Pseudomonadota; Gammaproteobacteria; Lysobacterales; Lysobacteraceae
Description: bacterial SSU rRNA
Rfam family: Bacterial small subunit ribosomal RNA
Source: RNAcentral